RNAcentral lists this ribosomal RNA (467 nucleotides) under uncultured bacterium. RNAcentral describes it as "partial 16S ribosomal RNA". It matches the Rfam family "Bacterial small subunit ribosomal RNA", at positions 28 to 507 of the family's 1533-position model. The record is from RNAcentral.
GACGAACGCUGGCGGCGUGCUUAACACAUGCAAGUCGAACGGAAAGGCCCUGCUUUUGUGGGGUGCUCGAGUGGCGAACGGGUGAGUAACACGUGAGUAACCUGCCCUUGACUUUGGGAUAACUUCAGGAAACUGGGGCUAAUACCGGAUAGGAGCUCCUGCUGCAUGGUGGGGGUUGGAAAGUUUCGGCGGUUGGGGAUGGACUCGCGGCUUAUCAGCUUGUUGGUGGGGUAGUGGCUUACCAAGGCUUUGACGGGUAGCCGGCCUGAGAGGGUGACCGGCCACAUUGGGACUGGGAUACGGCCCAGACUCCUACGGGAGGAAGCAGUGGGGAAUAUUGCACAAUGGGCGGAAGCCUGAUGCAGCAACGCCGCGUGGGGAUGACGGCCUUCGGGUUGUAAACCGCUUUCGCCUGUGACGAAGCGUGAGUGACGGUAAUGGGUAAAGAAGCACCGGCUAACUACGUG